Molecule: ribosomal RNA, 451 nt
Filed under: uncultured bacterium
Lineage: Bacteria
Description: partial 16S ribosomal RNA
Rfam family: Bacterial small subunit ribosomal RNA
Source: RNAcentral
GGCUAACGCUGGCGGCGCGCCUAACACAUGCAAGUCGAACGAACCCUUCGGGGUUAGUGGCAGACGGGUAAGUAACGCGUGGCAAAUGUGCCUCUUUGCUGGCGAUACCGUUCCGAACGGAACGUUAAUACCGAAUGUGCUUGUUUGGCGGCAUCGUCGGGCAAUUAAACUGUUCGGGUGAAGAGGGCAGUCCGCGUUCUAUCAGCUAGUUGUUGAGGUAACGGCUAACCAAGGCUACGACGGAUAACUGGUCUGAGAGGAUGAUCAGUCACACUGGAACUGAGACACGGUACAGACUACUACGGGAGGCAGCAGUGAGGAAUCUUGCACAAUGGGCGAAAGGCGGAUGCAGCGACGCCGCGUGAGGGAUGAAGGCCUUCGGGUUGUAAACCUCUGUCAGUAGGGAAGAAGAAUGACGGUACCUACUGAGGAAGCUUCGGCUAACUACGUG